This is a long non-coding RNA of Papaver somniferum (opium poppy), 519 nucleotides long. RefSeq lists it as uncharacterized. The transcript is spliced from 2 exons. Lineage: Eukaryota; Viridiplantae; Streptophyta; Magnoliopsida; Ranunculales; Papaveraceae. The record is from RefSeq and is a predicted model, not a curated record.
UCUCACAGCAUUCUGAGAAAAAAAAUCAUCAAGAACACUUUCUUCCAUCUUCAGUUUCCUUUUCAUUUUUCCUAUCUGUAGAGAUACAGUGGGUGACCGAGGUGAAGACAUCAUGAACAGAAUUCAUAGUUGGGCGUCGGAUGCUGCUUACUCCUUCAUAUAUGCAAAUGUAGCCUUUUCACUUUUGGCUCUCUUAUUCUUCUUUUAUCUCUUGUGUGGAUACCAACCCCCAAGACCAGAUAUGAUGAUUCGAAAGAUUGUCCAUGGGUUUUCGUUGAUCUCAUCAUGGUUACAGACGAAAAGGAUCAGGUGGUGAGACAGGAGGAAUGGGUGAUGAUGAUGAGUAUUGAACUUAAAUAUUAAUGAGGAGGUGGUGACUGUCUUUCUUAAUUUCGGUGUUAUUUUCUUAUCAAGUUAAAUACGUACUAUCAUAUCUAGGAGUCAAGGAUUUAAUUUGGUUUAGUAUUAUCAUCAUGAACUCAGAUUAUUGUAAUAAGAAGGAUUUGCAUAUUUACGUGA